Molecule: transfer RNA, 82 nt
Filed under: candidate division TA06 bacterium ADurb.Bin131
Lineage: Bacteria
Also listed under: 2 other names
Description: tRNA-Leu
Rfam family: tRNA
About the family: Transfer RNA (tRNA) molecules are approximately 80 nucleotides in length.
Source: RNAcentral
GCGAGGAUGGCGGAAUGGCAGACGCGCUGGACUUAGGAUCCAGUGGGUAACCCCCGUGAGAGUUCAAAUCUCUCUCCUCGCA